This 120-nucleotide ribosomal RNA is filed under the name Kitasatospora albolonga. RNAcentral's name for it is "partial 16S rRNA". It matches the Rfam family "Bacterial small subunit ribosomal RNA", at positions 162 to 283 of the family's 1533-position model. The record is from RNAcentral. Lineage: Bacteria; Bacillati; Actinomycetota; Actinomycetes; Kitasatosporales; Streptomycetaceae.
UCUAAUACCGGAUAUGACCUUCUUCCGCAUGGUUGAAGGUGGAAAGCUCCGGCGGUGCAGGAUGAUCCCGCGGCCUAUCAGCUUGUUGGUGGGGUAAUGGCCUACCAAGGCGACGACGGG